Molecule: ribosomal RNA, 380 nt
Filed under: uncultured eukaryote
Lineage: Eukaryota
Description: partial 18S ribosomal RNA
Rfam family: Eukaryotic small subunit ribosomal RNA
Source: RNAcentral
CAAUAGCGUCUAUUAAAGUUGUUGCAGUUAAAAAGCUCGUAGUUGGAUUUGUGGCGUACGGUGUGUUCCGGGCACUUGUUGUCUGAGUAACCUGCUGUUGCCAUCCUUGGGUGGAACCUGUGUGGCAUUAGGUUGUCGUGCAGGGGAUGCCCAUCAUUUACUGUGAAAAAAUUAGAGUGUUCAAAGCAGGCUUAUGCCGUUGAAUAUAUUAGCAUGGAAUAAUGAGAUAGGACUUUUUUGCUAUUUUGUUGGUUUGCGCAAGAAGGUAAUGAUUAAUAGGGACAGUUGGGGGUAUUCGUAUUCCAUUGUCAGAGGUGAAAUUCUUGGAUUUUUGGAAGACGAACUACUGCGAAAGCAUUUACCAAGGAUGUUUUCAUUAA